This 456-nucleotide ribosomal RNA is filed under the name uncultured bacterium. RNAcentral describes it as "SSU rRNA". It matches the Rfam family "Bacterial small subunit ribosomal RNA", at positions 26 to 518 of the family's 1533-position model. The record is from RNAcentral.
AGAAUCAACGCUGGCGGCGUGCCUAACACAUGCAAGUCGAACGAGAAAGUGGAGCAAUCCAUGAGUAAAGUGGCGACCGGGUGAGUAACACGUGACUACCUACCCUUGAGUGGGGGAUAACCUCGGGAAACCGAGGCUAAUACCGCAUAAUAUCGAAAGAUCAAAGGAGUAAUCCGCUUUUGGAGGGGGUCGCGGCUGAUUAGCUAGUUGGUAGGGUAAUGGCCUACCAAGGCGAAGAUCGGUAUCCGGCCUGAGAGGGCGCACGGACACACUGGAACUGAAACACGGUCCAGACUCCUACGGGAGGCAGCAGUGGGGAAUUUUGCGCAAUGGGGGAAACCCUGACGCAGCAACGCCGCGUGGAGGAUGAAGCCCCUUGGGGUGUAAACUCCUUUCGACCGGAAAUAUGAUGGUACCGGUGGAAGAAGCACCGGCUAACUCUGUGCCAGCAGCCGC